GACGAACGCUGGCGGCGUGCCUAAUACAUGCAAGUUGAGCGCUGAAGGUUGGUACUUGUACCGACUGGAUGAGCAGCGAACGGGUGAGUAGCGCGUGGGGAAUCUGCCUUUGAGCGGGGGACAACAUUUGGAAACGAAUGCUAAUACCGCAUAAAAACUUUAAACACAAGUUUUAAGUUUGAAAGAUGCAAUUGCACCACUCAAAGAUGAUCCCGCGUUGUAUUAGCUAGUUGGUGAGGUAAAGGCUCACCAAGGCGAUGAUACAUAGCCGACCUGAGAGGGUGAUCGGCCACAUUGGGACUGAGACACGGCCCAAACUCCUACGGGAGGCAGCAGUAGGGAAUCUUCGGCAAUGGACGAAAGUCUGACCGAGCAACGCCGCGUGAGUGAAGAAGGUUUUCGGAUCGUAAAACUCUGUUGGUAGAGAAGAACGUUGGUGAGAGUGGAAAGCUCAUCAAGUGACGGUAACUACCCAGAAAGGGACGGCUAACUACGUG
RNAcentral lists this ribosomal RNA (497 nucleotides) under uncultured bacterium. RNAcentral describes it as "partial 16S ribosomal RNA". It matches the Rfam family "Bacterial small subunit ribosomal RNA", at positions 28 to 507 of the family's 1533-position model. The record is from RNAcentral.